Molecule: long non-coding RNA, 1263 nt
Filed under: Gouania willdenowi (blunt-snouted clingfish)
Lineage: Eukaryota; Metazoa; Chordata; Actinopteri; Blenniiformes; Gobiesocidae
Description: lncRNA (ENSGWIG00000020111.1)
Source: RNAcentral
AAUGUAGUUCAAGUCUCCUCCUCUAAACCUACUCUGAUGGACUGAUACUGUCUUGGGUGGGAUAAUCCUCAUCUUAUAUUUCUUCUCUGUUUUUUAGGAUGUUUUCUCCCUGGAAAAUGUGUCAACAAUUGAAGAUUUGGAAGAAGACAUAGACGGUAACUUGGUUUAGAUAUACAAUAUGUUAAUAAGAAUAAAAAGGAUGAAUUAGGUUGAAAACAAAACCACUUGGGCGAUGUAUGACACAAAGUAUUGUUUCUCUUGAGCAGUAGAUGACAGUGAAGCAUCCAAAUUCUCAGAUUCUAGUUCCUCUCAAGAUGAUGUCGUCAUAAUUUCUCCGAUACGAAAACCAAAGAAGGGAGAAAAACUAAUAGUGGAAAUCCUGUCCCUCACAUUUGAACCCAAUUCACACGUGGCAAUGAAUGAGUCGGUGCAGCAAGUCUUUGUGGAGUACCGGCUGUUGGGAGUCCCCAUGGAGACCACAGAGACACCCAUGUCGCUGCGUAAGCCUAUGGAAGGGGAGGAGAUCCACUACAACUUCACAAGAGUGAUAUAUGUGGAUGGUUCCCACUCAGCUCCACUCAGACAGUAUCUUUACACCAUGCUGGAGGGGGCGGACCCUAAUCAGGGCAGGUAGGUUUUUCCAUUUAAUGUUUGCUGUGUGUUUGUAUUUCCAAUCCUAAACGGCAACAGAAAGAAAUCAUGGGUUUGUGUGUAUCAUGGCAGGUUAAAGUUCACUGUGGUCAGUGAGCCAAUGGAUGAUGACGAUGAAUGUGUGGAUGUCGGGCAUGCUUUCCUCAACCUUAAGGAGUUGCUGCUCUCAGGAAAUGAUGUCAUCAAACAACAGAUUGACAUUUUGAGUUUGGAUGAGGGCCGGGAAGUGAUUGGAAAUCUAAAAGUAUCUCUGGAAGCAGCAAAAGCUCUGUCAGGAAUUUACCAGGAAUUUCAUCAGGAAGAGAGCACUGAGGAAAAAGAUGAGACGGAGGAGGAAGAAGAAGAGGAAGACGAAGAGGAUGAAAGCGAGGAGGAGGUGUCAAGGGAAGAGAAGAACAAAGAUCCGAUGCAAGUGAUAGAUUAUGACAGUGAUGUAUUUUAACUGUGAGAAUUUCACACUGUUUUAGUUACCAAUUGAUGCAGUUCCUUUUGUUGUCCGUAGCGUCAUCGGCAUUUCCUUAUGAAUAUGAAUUGUUUUUCUCUGAAAUGUCUUCUUUUUUCUUUUUUUUAAAAAAACCAAAUAAAUAAAUAAAUGUAAUUUUAGGGAUGGCA